This 262-nucleotide ribosomal RNA is filed under the name Listeria monocytogenes. RNAcentral's name for it is "partial 16S ribosomal RNA". It matches the Rfam family "Bacterial small subunit ribosomal RNA", at positions 1 to 251 of the family's 1533-position model. The record is from RNAcentral. Lineage: Bacteria; Bacillati; Bacillota; Bacilli; Caryophanales; Listeriaceae.
UUUAAAGAGAGUUUGAUCCUGGCUCAGGACGAACGCUGGCGGCGUGCCUAAUACAUGCAAGUCGAACGAACGGAGGAAGAGCUUGCUCUUCCAAAGUUAGUGGCGGACGGGUGAGUAACACGUGGGCAACCUGCCUGUAAGUUGGGGAUAACUCCGGGAAACCGGGGCUAAUACCGAAUGAUAAAGUGUGGCGCAUGCCACGCUUUUGAAAGAUGGUUUCGGCUAUCGCUUACAGAUGGGCCCGCGGUGCAUUAGCUAGUUG